This 649-nucleotide ribosomal RNA is filed under the name uncultured bacterium. RNAcentral's name for it is "bacterial SSU rRNA". It matches the Rfam family "Bacterial small subunit ribosomal RNA", at positions 140 to 807 of the family's 1533-position model. The record is from RNAcentral.
GGGAUAACAGUUGGAAACGGCUGCUAAUACCGCAUAAGCGCACAGCAUCGCAUGAUGCAGCUUGAAAAACUCCGGUGGUAUAAGAUGGACCCGCGUUGGAUUAGCUAGUUGGUGAGGUAACGGCCCACCAAGGCGACGAUCCAUAGCCGACCUGAGAGGGUGACCGGCCACAUUGGGACUGAGACACGGCCCAAACUCCUACGGGAGGCAGCAGUGGGGAAUAUUGCACAAUGGGCGAAAGCCUGAUGCAGCGACGCCGCGUGAGCGAAGAAGUAUUUCGGUAUGUAAAGCUCUAUCAGCAGGGAGGAUAAUGACGGUACCUGACUAAGAAGCACCGGCUAAAUACGUGCCAGCAGCCGCGGUAAUACGUAUGGUGCAAGCGUUAUCCGGAUUUACUGGGUGUAAAGGGAGCGCAGGCGGUGCGGCAAGUCUGAUGUGAAAGCCCGGGGCUCAACCCCGGUACUGCAUUGGAAACUGUCGUACUAGAGUGUCGGAGGGGUAAGCGGAAUUCCUAGUGUAGCGGUGAAAUGCGUAGAUAUUAGGAGGAACACCAGUGGCGAAGGCGGCUUACUGGACGAUAACUGACGCUGAGGCUCGAAAGCGUGGGGAGCAAACAGGAUUAGAUACCCUGGUAGUCCACGCCGUAAAC